GUCCCAAUAGCUCAGCUGGAUAGAGCAAUCGCCUCCUAAGCGAUAGGUCGGAGGUUCAAAUCCUCUUUGGGACG
This 74-nucleotide transfer RNA is filed under the name Bacillus solimangrovi. It matches the Rfam family "tRNA". From Rfam's summary of the family: Transfer RNA (tRNA) molecules are approximately 80 nucleotides in length. Lineage: Bacteria; Bacillati; Bacillota; Bacilli; Caryophanales; Bacillaceae. The record is from Rfam by way of RNAcentral.